RNAcentral lists this ribosomal RNA (638 nucleotides) under uncultured bacterium. RNAcentral's name for it is "bacterial SSU rRNA". It matches the Rfam family "Bacterial small subunit ribosomal RNA", at positions 590 to 1228 of the family's 1533-position model. The record is from RNAcentral.
UGAAGUUAAAGNCAUUGGCUCAACCAGUGUAUGCUUUGGAAACUGUUAGACUUGAGUGCAGAAGGGGAGAGUGGAAUUCCAUGUGUAGCGGUGAAAUGCGUAGAUAUAUGAAGGAACACCGGUGGCGAAAGCGGCUCUCUGGUCUGUCACUGACGCUGAGGCUCGAAAGCGUGGGUAGCGAACAGGAUUAGAUACCCUGGUAGUCCACGCCGUAAACGCCGAGUGCUAGGUGUUAGGUCCUUUCCGGGACUUAGUGCCGACGCUAACGCAUUAAGCACUCCGCCUGGGGAGUACGACCGCAAGGUUGAAACUCAAAGGAAUUGACGGGGGCCCGCACAAGCGGUGGAGCAUGUGGUUUAAUUCGAAGCAACGCGAAGAACCUUACCAGGUCUUGACAUCCCGAUGCCCGCUCUAGAGAUAGAGUUUUACUUUUUGUACAUCGGAGACAGGUGGUGCAUGGUUGUCGUCAGCUCGUGUCGUGAGAUGUUGGGUUAAGUCCCGCAACGAGCGCAACCCUUAUUGUUAGUUGCCAUCAUUAAGUUGGGCACUCUAGCGAGACUGCCGGUAAUAAACCGGAGGAAGGUGGGGAUGACGUCAAAUCAUCAUGCCCCUUAUGACCUGGGCUACACACGUGCUAC